This is a long non-coding RNA of Chinchilla lanigera (long-tailed chinchilla), 587 nucleotides long. RefSeq lists it as uncharacterized. The transcript is spliced from 4 exons. Lineage: Eukaryota; Metazoa; Chordata; Mammalia; Rodentia; Chinchillidae. The record is from RefSeq and is a predicted model, not a curated record.
UUGGAAGCUGGUAACUUGGUAACAGACUGUGCCCCAGUUCAAGGAGUAAUUUAUAUGACUUCCAGUUUUCAACAGCUUUAAUGAAUCAAACUCAACCCCUUGCACUUGCCAGCAGGCACAUCUGCCACUGAGCUACCUCCCCAGCCUGGUAUAUGGUGUUAAAAAAUUACAGGAGAGUCUGGACCCAAGAGGAAUGGAGGAGACAUGGAAAGAAUGUCACCGUCAGUCUUGUUCCUCCUCAAGGGGACAGAGCAGAGGUAAAGAUAUUCCCAGCCUCCACGCCCACACUACCACCAAAGAGGCCACAUUUCACCUGCAGUCAGAUUGCCUAACCGUUGAGGAACUCAUCUUACAACUUGAAUUUUGAUGAAAUUUAAUGUUUAAGAUCUGUUUUAUGUAAUUAAUUUCUUGUUCAGAAGUCUACUCAGUCUCUGACACAGAGUGGCUAUAUUGUAUUGAAUUGAAUGGAUGAAUGCGUGUAACCUAACUAUCACUAUCAAAUCCACACAGAAUUAUUUUAAGUAUGAAAAAAAUCUUUACUGUCAAUUCUAACAUAUGUUAGCUGGGACAAAUCAAUUAAAAAGCAA